RNAcentral lists this ribosomal RNA (890 nucleotides) under uncultured Bacillota bacterium. RNAcentral describes it as "bacterial SSU rRNA". It matches the Rfam family "Bacterial small subunit ribosomal RNA", at positions 29 to 917 of the family's 1533-position model. Lineage: Bacteria; Bacillati; Bacillota. The record is from RNAcentral.
ACGAACGCUGGCGGCGUGCUUAACACAUGCAAGUCGAACGAAGCUUGACGAAUGAUUUCUUCGGAAUGAAUUCCGAUAUGACUGAGUGGCGGACGGGUGAGUAACGCGUGAGGAACCUGCCCUUCAGAGGGGGAUAGUGUUUGGAAACGAACAGUAAUACCGCAUAAUGUAUUUUUACCGCAUGAUAGAAAUACCAAAGAUUUAUCGCUGAAGGAUGGCCUCGCGUCUGAUUAGAUAGUUGGUGGGGUAACGGCCUACCAAGUCGACGAUCAGUAGCCGGACUGAGAGGUUGGACGGCCACAUUGGGACUGAGACACGGCCCAGACUCCUACGGGAGGCAGCAGUGGGGAAUAUUGCACAAUGGGGGAAACCCUGAUGCAGCAACGCCGCGUGAAGGAAGACGGUUUUCGGAUUGUAAACUUCUGUUCUUAGUGAAGAAAAAUGACGGUAGCUAAGGAGCAAGCCACGGCUAACUACGUGCCAGCAGCCGCGGUAAUACGCAGGUGGCAAGCGUUGUCCGGAAUUACUGGGUGUAAAGGGGGCGCAGGCGGGAGAGCAAGUCAGUUGUGAAAUCCAUGGGCUUAACCCAUGAACUGCAGUUGAAACUGUUCUUCUUGAGUGAAGUAGAGGUUGGCGGAAUUCCGAGUGUAGCGGUGAAAUGCGUAGAUAUUCGGAGGAACACCGGUGGCGAAGGCGGCCAACUGGGCUUUUACUGACGCUGAGGCCCGAAAGUGUGGGGAGCAAACAGGAUUAGAUACCCUGGUAGUCCACACUGUAAACGAUGAUAACUAGGUGUGGGGGGACUGACCCCUUCUGUGCCGCAGCUAACGCAAUAAGUUAUCCACCUGGGGAGUACGACCGCAAGGUUGCAACUCAAAUGAAUUGACGGA